CCUACGGGAGGCAGCAGUGGGGAAUAUUGCACAAUGGGGGAAACCCUGAUGCAGCAACGCCGCGUGUGUGAAGGAGCGUUUCGGCGCGUAAAGCCCUGUCAUCGGGGACGAAGAAAGACGGUACCCGACCUAGAAGCCCCGGCUAACCACGGGCCAGCAGCCGCGGUAAUACGGAGGGGGCGAGCGUUAUUCGGAAUUACUGGGUGUAAAGGGAGCGUAGGCGGCGAGGUAAGACUGAAGUGGUAGCCCCGGGCCCAACCGGGGAACUGCUUUGGGGACUGUUUUGCUGGAGUAUGGGAGGGGUAAGCGGAAUUCCUGGUGUAGCAGUGAAAUGCGUAGAUAUCAGGAAGAACACCGGUGGCGAAGGCGGCUUACUGGACCAUAACUGACGUUGAGGCACGAAAGCGUGGGGAGCGAACAGGAUUAGAUACCCUAGUAGUC
This 441-nucleotide ribosomal RNA is filed under the name uncultured bacterium. Its description in RNAcentral is "partial 16S ribosomal RNA". It matches the Rfam family "Bacterial small subunit ribosomal RNA", at positions 338 to 795 of the family's 1533-position model. The record is from RNAcentral.